CCACUGCUGAGGAGUCCCACAAUAGGACAAAACGGUCGUUCAGUGC
Molecule: non-coding RNA, 46 nt
Filed under: Schistosoma curassoni
Lineage: Eukaryota; Metazoa; Platyhelminthes; Trematoda; Strigeidida; Schistosomatidae
Source: RNAcentral